Molecule: ribosomal RNA, 614 nt
Filed under: Halomonas shengliensis
Lineage: Bacteria; Pseudomonadati; Pseudomonadota; Gammaproteobacteria; Oceanospirillales; Halomonadaceae
Description: bacterial SSU rRNA
Rfam family: Bacterial small subunit ribosomal RNA
Source: RNAcentral
GGGGGAUAACCUGGGGAAACCCAGGCUAAUACCGCAUACGCCCUACGGGGGAAAGCAGGGGCUCUUCGGACCUUGCGCUAUCGGAUGAGCCUAUGUCGGAUUAGCUGGUUGGUGAGGUAAUGGCUCACCAAGGCGACGAUCCGUAGCUGGUCUGAGAGGAUGAUCAGCCACAUCGGGACUGAGACACGGCCCGAACUCCUACGGGAGGCAGCAGUGGGGAAUAUUGGACAAUGGGCGCAAGCCUGAUCCAGCCAUGCCGCGUGUGUGAAGAAGGCCCUCGGGUUGUAAAGCACUUUCAGUGGGGAAGAAAUCCUCGGGGCUAAUACCCUCGAGGGAGGACAUCACCCACAGAAGAAGCACCGGCUAACUCCGUGCCAGCAGCCGCGGUAAUACGGAGGGUGCGAGCGUUAAUCGGAAUUACUGGGCGUAAAGCGCGCGUAGGCGGCCUGAUAAGCCGGUUUGUGAAAGCCCCGGGCUCAACCUGGGAACGGCAUCCGGAACUGUCAGGCUAUAGUGCAGGAGAGGAAGGUAGAAUUCCCGGUGUAGCGGUGAAAUGCGUAGAGAUCGGGGAGGAAUACCAUUGGCUAAGCGGGCUUCUGGACUGACACUGACGC